Molecule: transfer RNA, 53 nt
Filed under: Oxyrrhis marina
Lineage: Eukaryota; Dinophyceae; Oxyrrhinales; Oxyrrhinaceae
Description: partial tRNA
Source: RNAcentral
UGGCCUCAUGGUUAAGACACUGGGCUAAUAACCUAGGAAUCGUAGGUUCAAGC